RNAcentral lists this ribosomal RNA (504 nucleotides) under uncultured bacterium. Its description in RNAcentral is "bacterial SSU rRNA". It matches the Rfam family "Bacterial small subunit ribosomal RNA", at positions 19 to 518 of the family's 1533-position model. The record is from RNAcentral.
CUGGCUCAGGAUGAACGCUAGCGACAGGCUAACACAUGCAAGUCGAGGGCAGCAUAAAAGUAGCAAUACUUGGUGGCGACCGGCGCACGGGUGAGUAACGCGUAUGCAACCUACCUAUCAGAGGGGAAUAACCCGGCGAAAGUCGGACUAAUACCGCAUAAAACAGGGGCACCGCAUGGUGAUAUUUGUUAAAGAAAUUCGCUGAUAGAUGGGCAUGCGUUCCAUUAGGUAGUUGGUGAGGUAACGGCUCACCAAGCCGACGAUGGAUAGGGGAACUGAGAGGUUGGUCCCCCACACUGGUACUGAGACACGGACCAGACUCCUACGGGAGGCAGCAGUGAGGAAUAUUGGUCAAUGGGCGGGAGCCUGAACCAGCCAAGUCGCGUGAAGGAAGAAGGAUCUAUGGUUCGUAAACUUCUUUUGCAGGGGAAUAAAGUGCAGGACGUGUCCUGUUUUGUAUGUACCCUGAGAAUAAGGAUCGGCUAACUCCGUGCCAGCCGCCGC